Molecule: unclassified non-coding RNA, 19 nt
Filed under: Mus musculus (house mouse)
Lineage: Eukaryota; Metazoa; Chordata; Mammalia; Rodentia; Muridae
Description: oocyte_clustered_small_RNA12896
Source: RNAcentral
AUUAGCUGGUAGCUUGCAG